Molecule: ribosomal RNA, 423 nt
Filed under: uncultured bacterium
Lineage: Bacteria
Description: bacterial SSU rRNA
Rfam family: Bacterial small subunit ribosomal RNA
Source: RNAcentral
UGAGGAAUAUUGGUCAAUGGACGCAAGUCUGAACCAGCCAUGCCGCGUGAAGGAUGAAGGCCUUCUGGGUUGUAAACUUCUUUUAUUGGGGAAGAAAACUAUGGUUUCUACUAUAGCCGACGGUACCCAAGGAAUAAGCACCGGCUAACUCCGUGCCAGCAGCCGCGGUAAUACGGAGGGUGCAAGCGUUAUCCGGAUUCACUGGGUUUAAAGGGUGUGUAGGCGGGCUGUUAAGUCAGUGGUGAAAUCUCCGGGCUCAACCCGGAAACUGCCAUUGAUACUAUCAGUCUUGAAUAUCGAUGAGGUGGGCAGAAUAUGUCAUGUAGCGGUGAAAUGUAUAGAUAUGACAUAGAAUACCAAUUGCGAAGGCAGCUCACUAACCGAUUAUUGACGCUGAGGCACGAAAGCGUGGGGAUCAAACAG